Manis javanica (Malayan pangolin) is the source of this 164-nucleotide small nuclear RNA. RefSeq annotates it as U1 spliceosomal RNA. Lineage: Eukaryota; Metazoa; Chordata; Mammalia; Pholidota; Manidae. The record is from RefSeq and is a predicted model, not a curated record.
AUACUUACCUGGCAGGGGAGAUUCUAUGGCCACGAAAGUGGUUUUCCCAGGUCAAGGCUUAUUCAUUGCACUCCAGAUGUGCUGACCCCUCAAUUUCCCCAAAUGUGGGAAACUCUGACAGCAUAAUUUGUGGUAGUGGGGGAAUGUAUUCACGCUUUCCCCAC